CGAGCAGGUUGCUUUAUCGCUCUUCAUAAAAUGGGAGAGAGGAAAGUCCGGACAACACAGGGCACUGCACUCUCGAAAUGAGAGAUGUUCGUGAGGGCAUGCACGCAGAGAAGAAAAUAACCACCUCGAUUUAUCGUGGAUUUAUUGGGGAAAGGGUGAGAAGGUGGGGUAAGAGCCCACUGGUAUUUGUGGCGACACAAAUAGCCGUCUGCACUGUAGGUUGCAAGACCAUGUAAACCAACGCUUGAGGGUUGCCCGCCCGAGUUGGAGGGUAGGUCGCAUAGAUAAAUGAUAAAGACCCCGAUUUUAUUGGGAACAGAAUCCGGCUUAUAAACCUGCUCUUUUU
This 346-nucleotide RNase P RNA is filed under the name Bacteroidales bacterium. RNAcentral's name for it is "RNase P RNA component class A". It matches the Rfam family "Bacterial RNase P class A". Rfam says of the family: Ribonuclease P (RNase P) is a ubiquitous endoribonuclease, found in archaea, bacteria and eukarya as well as chloroplasts and mitochondria. The record is from RNAcentral. Lineage: Bacteria; Pseudomonadati; Bacteroidota; Bacteroidia; Bacteroidales.